GGAGAUAGGUGGCCUACUUCAUAUGGUUAGAAAGCUCUCUGAGUCUACUUUCCACUAAGGGAAGCCUCAUCUAUUUAUCACAUUCUCAGUUUGAGAUAUGAGCAUUUCAUGAGAAAAAGGUCAUUGCUGAAAGUUUGCUUCACUCACUACCUUUUGUUCAUUUGGUUGGUUGGACUUCUAUGCACUUCAUUUCAUCUUUGGAGAGCAUGAAUAGGGCAAUAUUGAGAUGUGUUGGAGGUGGCAAAGUGUAAGAGCUUAAUGGAUGAUCUUGUCUCUUUACUCCUUUUGUGUGACUUCAUGCUCGAGAGCUUUGUACAUUCUAUUUGAAGUUGAUCUUCAUGAGCACCUUGAGCUUUUAUGGGGCAUCCAUUAUCGAAGUCAAGGCCUUGUGCCUUGAGAAUGGUGUCCAUUUUUGGUCUUCUCCAAAGCCAAUGAGCAAUGGAGGUCAACAAAGCGAGUUUCCGUAACUUUUCUUCACAUUUAGAUUUUCAUUUUCAUAGUUAAUUUGUGUGCCUUUGCCCGGACUUCACUCUCAUGCCUAAAUCCAACACCGAUUUAGCUUUCGAGCUCACUUUGCAACAUUGAGGACAAUGUUGGUUUUAAGUGUGGGGGUGAAAGCUUGGCGCCUUAUACAUACAUAUAUAUAUAUAUAAUUGUUUCUUUCUUUGUUAGUUUUGAUGUAAAUAAGUAGUGCCUAGUGUCUUUCCGACCCCAAUGAUAAAAGCAUGAACUCAAUGAGCUGUGGCUUUGAAGAGAGCAUGUUUAUAGGUCUUAGGAUUUAUUUUGCAAUUAAUUUUGACAUGUGAUUGUAUGCUUGAGUGCUAGUUUUUGACAAGUAGGGAAAGCAUAUCUAGACUUGUAUGACUUGCAUACCUAUUUUUGAGAUUUUAAGCCUUCUUGAUAAAUAUGCAUUGUUCGUAUUUACUUUUUCUUCAUGUGUGCCAAUUUUGCGAUUACGGUCUCUCUAGAACUUGCUUCAUACCCUUCAAGGCAACUUGCUAGUUCAUGACGAGAUGAAAAAGAUUGAGGCAUUAGGAGUAAUAACCACCAUGGCCAAAGAAGCAUGUGCCCGAAAUGAUAUACCAUUAGAUUGCCACUUUGAGCC
RNAcentral lists this long non-coding RNA (1105 nucleotides) under Fragaria vesca (wild strawberry). RNAcentral's name for it is "long non-coding RNA (FVES_LNC004729)". Lineage: Eukaryota; Viridiplantae; Streptophyta; Magnoliopsida; Rosales; Rosaceae. The record is from RNAcentral.